UAGAGUUUGAUCAUGGCUCAGGAUGAACGCUAGCGACAGGCUUAACACAUGCAAGUCGAGGGGCAGCGGGUAGAUGAGCUUGCUCAUUUAUGCCGGCGACCGGCGCACGGGUGAGUAACACGUAUGCAACCUGCCCGUCUCAGGGGGAUAAUCGUCGGAAACGGCGUCUAAUACCCCGUAUGAAGCCGGACGGCAUCGUCUGGUUUUGAAAGAAUAUCGGAGACGGAUGGGCAUGCGGCGCAUUAGCUAGUUGGCGGGGUAACGGCCCACCAAGGCGACGAUGCGUAGGGGUUCUGAGAGGAAGGUCCCCCACACUGGUACUGAGACACGGACCAGACUCCUACGGGAGGCAGCAGUGAGGAAUAUUGGUCAAUGGGCGAGAGCCUGAACCAGCCAAGUCGCGUGAGGGAGUACUGCCCUAUGGGUUGUAAACCUCUUUUGUCGGGGAGCAAAAGCCGGACGUGUCCGUCUGUGAGAGUACCCGAAGAAAAAGCAUCGGCUAACUCCGUGCCAGCAGCCGCGGUAAUACGGAGGAUGCGAGCGUUAUCCGGAUUUAUUGGGUUUAAAGGGUGCGUAGGCGGCCUGCCAAGUCAGCGGUAAAAUUGCGGGGCUCAACCCCGUACAGCCGUUGAAACUGCCGGGCUCGAGUGGGCGAGAAGUAUGCGGAAUGCGUGGUGUAGCGGUGAAAUGCAUAGAUAUCACGCAGAACCCCGAUUGCGAAGGCAGCAUACCGGCGCCCUACUGACGCUGAGGCACGAAAGUGCGGGGAUCAAACAGGAUUAGAUACCCUGGUAGUCCGCACAGUAAACGAUGAAUGCUAGCUGUCCGGGGGGAUUGACCCCUGGGUGGCACAGCGAA
This 858-nucleotide ribosomal RNA is filed under the name uncultured bacterium. Its description in RNAcentral is "bacterial SSU rRNA". It matches the Rfam family "Bacterial small subunit ribosomal RNA", at positions 1 to 855 of the family's 1533-position model. The record is from RNAcentral.